AGGAUCAACCUAACAACGAAAGCC
Molecule: non-coding RNA, 24 nt
Filed under: Arabidopsis thaliana (thale cress)
Lineage: Eukaryota; Viridiplantae; Streptophyta; Magnoliopsida; Brassicales; Brassicaceae
Source: RNAcentral